RNAcentral lists this ribosomal RNA (498 nucleotides) under uncultured bacterium. RNAcentral's name for it is "partial 16S ribosomal RNA". It matches the Rfam family "Bacterial small subunit ribosomal RNA", at positions 29 to 523 of the family's 1533-position model. The record is from RNAcentral.
AUUGAACGCUGGCGGCAUGCCUUACACAUGCAAGUCGAACGGUAACGCGGGGCAACCUGGCGACGAGUGGCGAACGGGUGAGUAAUGUAUCGGAACGUGCCCAGUUGUGGGGGAUAACUGCUCGAAAGAGCAGCUAAUACCGCAUACGACCUGAGGGUGAAAGCGGGGGAUCGCAAGACCUCGCGCAAUUGGAGCGGCCGAUAUCAGAUUAGGUAGUUGGUGGGGUAAAGGCUCACCAAGCCGACGAUCUGUAGCUGGUCUGAGAGGACGACCAGCCACACUGGGACUGAGACACGGCCCAGACUCCUACGGGAGGCAGCAGUGGGGAAUUUUGGACAAUGGACGCAAGUCUGAUCCAGCCGUGCCGCGUGCGGGAAGAAGGCCUUCGGGUUGUAAACCGCUUUUGUCGGGGAAGAAAAGGCUCCUUCUAAUAUAGGGGGCUCACGACGGUACCUGAAGAAUAAGCACCGGCUAACUACGUGCCAGCCGCCGCGGUAA